UGGGGAAUUUUGCACAAUGGGGGAAACCCUGAUGCAGCGACGCCGCGUGAUUUAGAAGGCCUUCGGGUUGUAAAAAUCUUUUCUAUGGGAAGAAAAUGACAGUACCAUAGGAAUAAGGACCGGCUAAUUACGUGCCAGCAGCCGCGGUAAUACGUAAGGUCCGAGCGUUGUACGGAAUCAUUGGGCGUAAAGGGUACGUAGGCGGGUAAGCAAGUUAGAAGUGAAAUCCUAUAGCUCAACUAUAGUAAGCUUUUAAAACUGCUCAUCUUGAGGUAUGGAAGGGAAAGUGGAAUUCCUAGUGUAGCGGUGAAAUGCGCAGAUAUUAGGAGGAAUACAGGUGGCGAAGGAGACUUUCUGGCCAUAACCUGACGCUGAGGUACGAAAGCGUGGGUAGCAAACAGG
This 402-nucleotide ribosomal RNA is filed under the name bacterium. RNAcentral's name for it is "partial 16S ribosomal RNA". It matches the Rfam family "Bacterial small subunit ribosomal RNA", at positions 355 to 776 of the family's 1533-position model. The record is from RNAcentral.